RNAcentral lists this ribosomal RNA (301 nucleotides) under uncultured bacterium. Its description in RNAcentral is "partial 16S ribosomal RNA". It matches the Rfam family "Bacterial small subunit ribosomal RNA", at positions 509 to 808 of the family's 1533-position model. The record is from RNAcentral.
CAGCAGCCGCGGUAAUACGAAGGGUGCAAGCGUUACUCGGAAUUACUGGGCGUAAAGCGUGCGUAGGUGGUGGUUUAAGUCCGUUGUGAAAGCCCUGGGCUCAACCUGGGAAUUGCAGUGGAUACUGGGUCACUAGAGUGUGGUAGAGGAUAGUGGAAUUUCCGGUGUAGCAGUGAAAUGCGUAGAGAUCGGAAGGAACAUCUGUGGCGAAGGCGACUAUCUGGGCCAACACUGACACUGAGGCACGAAAGCGUGGGGAGCAAACAGGAUUAGAUACCCCAGUAGUCCCCUGUCUCUUAUA